GUGCUUAAAUGCUUAAACGUUUAAAUGAAAGUUUUGUUUUGUUUUUGUUUUUUUAUUCCCACAGUGACAUAAGGACUUCCUAAACCUCUGCAAAGUUUUGGGCUUUUUCAAGCAGCCCAGUAGAUCUGUCUGAUCCACUGUGAUGCUCUACUUUAGCUUGAAGCUUUCUUCACCUGAGAUUCACUCACUGCUCCUGAAAAUGGUACUACAUGGAUAGCCUAAAUAUUGCCCAUCUUCAAUAGAACAGUGUAAAAUUAUACAUGCCCACAUGCACACAUGUGCAUAGACACCCAAAGACUAAACAAUUUCAAACCACCUGUUCAUGGUCAUAGCAUCUGUGAUCUACAGUCAUGAGAAAAAGAAAGUACAAGAAGAAAGGACACCAGCCAUGACCUCAGUGAAGCACCUGCUGCUGUUCUUCAAUCUGG
Ictalurus punctatus (channel catfish) is the source of this 428-nucleotide long non-coding RNA. Lineage: Eukaryota; Metazoa; Chordata; Actinopteri; Siluriformes; Ictaluridae. The record is from Ensembl.